CGCGCGGUGGAGCAGUUGGCAGCUCGUUGGGCUCAUAACCCAAAGGUCGUAGGUUCAAGUCCUACCCGCGCUA
RNAcentral lists this transfer RNA (73 nucleotides) under Spirochaetae bacterium HGW-Spirochaetae-5. Its description in RNAcentral is "tRNA-Met". It matches the Rfam family "tRNA". From Rfam's summary of the family: Transfer RNA (tRNA) molecules are approximately 80 nucleotides in length. RNAcentral also lists the same sequence under 1 other name. Lineage: Bacteria; Pseudomonadati; Spirochaetota. The record is from RNAcentral.